RNAcentral lists this ribosomal RNA (1395 nucleotides) under uncultured bacterium. Its description in RNAcentral is "bacterial SSU rRNA". It matches the Rfam family "Bacterial small subunit ribosomal RNA". The record is from RNAcentral.
AGAGUUUGAUCCUGGCUCAGGAUGAACGCUGGCGGCAUGCCUAAUACAUGCAAGUCGAACGAGAGACCUUCGGGUCUCUAGUGGCGAACGGGUGAGUAACACGUAGGGAACCUGCCCGCGCACCGGGAAUACGCUCUGGAAACGGAGAACAAAUCCCGAUGUACAGGAAGGAGGCAUCUUCUUUCUGUGAAACAUCCUUUCGGGGAUGGGGCGCGGAUGGACCUGCGGUGCAUUAGUUUGUUGGCGGGGUAAAGGCCCACCAAGACGAUGAUGCAUAGCCGGCCUGAGAGGGCGGACGGCCACAUUGGGACUGAGACACGGCCCAGACUCCUGCGGGAGGCAGCAGUAGGGAAUUUUCGUCAAUGGGCGCAAGCCUGAACGAGCGAUGCCGCGUGAGUGAAGAAGGCCUUCGGGUCGUAAAGCUCUGUUGCGGGGGAAAAAAGGCAGCAUCAGGAAAUGGGUGCUGACUGAUGGUGCCCCGCCAGAAAGUCACGGCUAACUACGUGCCAGCAGCCGCGGUAAUACGUAGGUGGCGAGCGUUAUCCGGAAUGAUUGGGCGUAAAGGGUGCGCAAGCGGUCCUGCAAGUCUGGAGUGAAACGCAUGAGCUCAACUCAUGCAUGGCUUUGGAAACUGGAGGACUGGAGAGCAGGAGAGGGCGGUGGAACUCCAUGUGUAGCGGUAAAAUGCGUAGAUAUAUGGAAGAACACCAGUGGCGAAGGCGGCCGCCUGGCCUGUUGCUGACGCUGAGGCACGAAAGCGUGGGGAGCAAAUAGGAUUAGAUACCCUAGUAGUCCACGCCGUAAACGAUGAGGACCAAGUGUUGGGGGUGAAACCUCAGUGCUGAAGUUAACGCAGUGAGUCCUCCGCCUGGGGAGUAUGCACGCAAGUGUGAAACUCAAAGGAAUUGACGGGGGCCCGCACAAGCGGUGGAGUAUGUGGUUUAAUUCGAGGCAACGCGAAGAACCUUACCCAGCCUUGACAUCCCGGCGAGAACGGGGCAAUGCCCGUUGCCCUUCGGGGCGCCGGAGACAGGUGGUGCAUGGUUGUCGUCAGCUCGUGUCGUGAGAUGUUGGGUCAAGUCCCGCAACGAGCGCAACCCUUGUGGCAUGUUGCUAACAGGAAAAGCUGAGGACUCAUGCCAGACUGCCGGUGACAAACCGGAGGAAGGCGGGGAUGACGUCAAAUCAUCGUGCCCCUUAUGGCCUGGGCUACACACGUACUACAAUGGCGGCUACAAAGAGCAGCGAGACAGGGAUGUCGAGCGAAUCUCAUAAAAGCCGUCCCAGUUCGGAUUGGAGGCUGCAACCCGCCUCCAUGAAGUUGGAAUCGCUAGUAAUCGCGGAUCAGCAUGCCACGGUGAAUACGUUCCCGGGCCUUGUACUCACCGCCCGUCA